UUUUAUAUAGAUUGUUUAUUUUAAAAGUUAUUUUUAAGAAAAAUAAUUUAUAGUUAAGUUAGUAAUAUUUAAUAAAAUACAUAAAAAAACAAAAGUAAAUAAGUACUGUUAAGGAUCUCUAUUAUUAAUAUUGUUAGUAAAGAUGAAGUCUUGUAUCUUGUGUAUUAUAGAAAGUUUAUAUGGUUUAAGUAUUUAAAAAUCUCGAAAUAAAUACAGUUAAUUAUAUGAUAAAGUUUUUGUUAAAAAUAAAUUUUUAAUAUAUAAUUAAAGAUGAAAUAUCAAUCGAGAUUUAUAAUAUCUAGUUUUUUAAGAGUAAAUUUAAUUUCUUUUUUAUAUAUAACUAAAUAUAAAAGAAAAAUGCAGGAGGGCUAAGCUUCUUGUAAAUUAGGAAAAAUAGUUAAAUCAGUUAGUUAAAAUUAAUUAGGCUUAGAAAUAGUUUUAUUGAUAAAGUGUUUUAAUUAAAUUUAUAGUAGAUAAAUUAUUUAUGUUAACUUUUAUUUAUAUUAAAAAAUUAAAUAUAUUAAAAUAGUUUAAGUUAUAAUAAUUUUAUAAGUAGAAUUUAAUGUAUUGAAAGAAAUUAUAAAAAUCUUUUUUUUUAAUAGUGAAUUGUAAGAUUAAAGGAAUUCGGCAAAAAUUUUUCUUUGCCUGUUUAUCAAAAACAUGUCUGCUUGGAGAUAUAAGAAGUUUAGCCUGCUCUCUGAUAAAUUUAAAGGGCCGCGGUAAUUUGACCGUGCAAAGGUAGCAUAAUAGUUAGUUUUUUAAUUGAAAUCUUGUAUGAAUGGUUGGACAAAAGAAAGACUGUCUCUAUAAUUUUUAUUGAAUUUAACUUUUAAGUGAGAAGGCUUAAAUUAUUUAAAAAGACGAUAAGACCCUAUAAAGCUUUAUAAUUAAUUAUAUUUAAUUGAAUUAAAAAUAAUUAUUUAAUAUAAAAAAUUAUUUUGUUGGGGAGAUAGUAUUAUAAUUUGAAAUAACUGAGAAUAGGUAAUACAAUUAUUGGUGUAUGAAAAAAUAGUAGAUCCUAAUAUGUAGAUUAAAAGUUCAAGUUACUUUAGGGAUAACAGCGUUAUUUUUCUUGAGAGUUCAUAUCGAAAGAAAAGAUUGCGACCUCGAUGUUGAAUUAAAAUUUCUAAAUAAUUGUAGAAGUUAUUUAAGAAGGUCUGUUCGACCUUUAAAAUUUUACAUGAUUUGAGUUCAGACCGGCGUAAGCCAGGUUGGUUUCUAUCUUUUAAUAAAAGGUAAAUUAUUUUAGUACGAAAGGAUUAAAUAAUUAAAAUAUUUUUAAGAUUUA
Molecule: ribosomal RNA, 1288 nt
Filed under: Pinnotheres excussus
Lineage: Eukaryota; Metazoa; Arthropoda; Malacostraca; Decapoda; Pinnotheridae
Description: 16S ribosomal RNA
Rfam family: Archaeal large subunit ribosomal RNA (bases 600-1288)
Source: RNAcentral